GCCGGCAUAGCUCAGUUGGUAGAGCAGUUGAUUUGUAAUCAUCAGGUCGGGAGUUCAAGUCUCUCUGCCGGCACCA
RNAcentral lists this transfer RNA (76 nucleotides) under Alphaproteobacteria bacterium. RNAcentral describes it as "tRNA-Thr". It matches the Rfam family "tRNA". Rfam says of the family: Transfer RNA (tRNA) molecules are approximately 80 nucleotides in length. Their secondary structure includes four short double-helical elements and three loops (D, anti-codon, and T loops). The record is from RNAcentral. Lineage: Bacteria; Pseudomonadati; Pseudomonadota; Alphaproteobacteria.